Molecule: long non-coding RNA, 1458 nt
Filed under: Setaria viridis
Lineage: Eukaryota; Viridiplantae; Streptophyta; Magnoliopsida; Poales; Poaceae
Description: long non-coding RNA (SVIR_LNC006304)
Source: RNAcentral
AACCUUCUAUUUGGUUUGAAGAAUUUGCAAGUAAAGUGGCAUCUGAACAUUGAGCUACAUUUGUGCAGAAUUAGUGCAACACUGUCCAUUCUUUCUGCUCUGUUUAUCAGGUUAAGAAGUGCCAUUUGCUGUGUAAAUAGGAUUUUGCAUCUUGCAAACUGUAUAGACAUAGGAGAUGAGAGUUUCUUUUCAGUACAGAGAUCUAGUUGCAGGUUUCAUGCUUGUAGGGAGAUCAAAGGGGACAACUUUGUUUGCCCUUUGAAGCUUUGCAGUUUUCUGAAAAUUUGCUGAUGCAGUUGUAGCAAUUAGCUGUUGACCUCAAAUACAUUUCUUUUGUGGAGUAAAUUUGCCACCUGGAUUUUGCGCAGGAACUGAGAUGGCACAGUUAGUUUGCGGAGGGUGCCACACUCUCCUGAUGUACAUACGUGGCGCGACAAGUGUACAAUGUUCUUGCUGCCACACUGUUAACCUGGCUAUGGAAGGUAGUACACCAAUGAAGCUACUAUAUAUUUCUCCUCUUCCUCAGUUGAAACAAGUAUAUUCCGUGGCUCUGAUUCCUGUUUGCAAAAUCCAUCUUCUGAAAAGAAUAUAUUCUGUGGUCGGAAACUCUAGCAAUCAGCCAAUAGCAUUUUAACAUCACAGAUUUGGCCUCUUGGAGUCGCAUUCACUAAAAUCGGUCAUUAUUCGGAAAUCUAAAAAGUUUGACAGUGAUAUCCUAGAAUCACUGAAAUGGAAUGAAUAUCUCAUAGAUCUGUUUUAGUCUGCAAAAAAGAAAUUACUGAAAAUUUCACAAGAUUUUACUCCGACUAAUCAAGUUGUGGACUCUCAUAAUCAGAGAAACUCUUAUCAAUUGUUCAGAGUUCAGAAAGAAAAAAAAUGCGUGAUUAAUUCUAAACAUUACAAGUGAUAAAUGAUUCCCUUAUUUUCUGUUGCAGCGAAUCAAGUUGCACAUGUAAACUGCGGGAACUGCCGUAUGCUGCUUAUGUACCAGUAUGGAGCUAGGUCUGUGAAAUGCGCAGUCUGCAAUUUUGUGACAUCAGUUGGGGUAAGUAUUCAUCAGAGUGCUCUUAAGUUUUAACUAUACACGUUCUUUAGCACUAACAUCAUUUCAGUGCUAUUGCCAACUUGUAUUGCUCAUGGGAAUUUACAAUUAAACCCACUUUUCAUUCCCCUCAGGCAUCACCUGGUGCAGAGCAGAAGCCCAGCAGCUGAUGUUUCUGAAAAUACUGAGAUCACCUAUGAAGGCAGCUUCUGAAAAGGAUGCUUUGAGUGCACAUGUAUAGAGUUCUUCCCUGAAGCAAUUUUUCCCCUCCUUUAUCUCCAUUCUCCCCCAUCCAUUCCUGCGUUCCUCCGAUGGACCUGGCGAGCCCGCGGAAUAAAUGAGAGUUUUGGGAAAUAACUAGUGCUCAACUUCGUCGACUUGUCUGUAAAACUGAAUGAGACAUACAUAAACCUAUG